CAAUAGCGUAUAUUAAAGUUGUUGCGGUUAAAAAGCUCGUAGUUGGAUUUCUGCUGAGAACGACCGGUCCGCCCUUUGGGUGUGUAUCUGGCUCUUUCUUGGCAUCUUCUUGGUGAACGUUGCUGCACUUGACUGUGUGGGGCGCUACCCAGGACUUUUACUUUGAGGAAAUUAGAGUGUUUCAAGCAGGCAUACGCCUUGAAUACAUUAGCAUGGAAUAAUAAGAUAGGACCUCGGUUCUAUUUUGUUGGUUUCUAGAGCUGAGGUAAUGAUUAAUAGGGAUAGUUGGGGGCAUUCGUAUUUAACUGUCAGAGGUGAAAUUCUUGGAUUUGUUAAAGACGGACUACCGCGAAAGCAUUUGCCAAGGAUGUUUUCAUUGA
This 380-nucleotide ribosomal RNA is filed under the name uncultured eukaryote. RNAcentral describes it as "partial 18S ribosomal RNA". It matches the Rfam family "Eukaryotic small subunit ribosomal RNA", at positions 592 to 976 of the family's 1831-position model. The record is from RNAcentral.